This is a long non-coding RNA of Octopus sinensis (East Asian common octopus), 166 nucleotides long. RefSeq lists it as uncharacterized. The transcript has 3 exons. The record is from RefSeq and is a predicted model, not a curated record. Lineage: Eukaryota; Metazoa; Mollusca; Cephalopoda; Octopoda; Octopodidae.
AGUAACACAGGUUAUAGGAACGUAAAACUUCUUCCACAAAAAGAUAGCUUAAACUGUGUUCUAAAUAGAGGUGUAGUCAAAUCCUAUUUUAUGGACUCAACCAUAUUCUAAAAUAAGACGAAAGGUAAACUACUAUAAAUCAGCCGAACUGCAGUCAUUUUUGUCU